RNAcentral lists this ribosomal RNA (251 nucleotides) under uncultured bacterium. Its description in RNAcentral is "partial 16S ribosomal RNA". It matches the Rfam family "Bacterial small subunit ribosomal RNA", at positions 524 to 776 of the family's 1533-position model. The record is from RNAcentral.
UACGAAGGGGGCUAGCGUUGUUCGGAAUUACUGGGCGUAAAGCGCGCGCAGGCGGCCAUUCAAGUCAGGGGUGAAAGCCCAGAGCUCAACUCUGGAACUGCCCUUGAAACUGUAUGGCUUGAGUAUGAGAGAGGUGAGUGGAAUUCCCAGUGUAGAGGUGAAAUUCGUAGAUAUUCGGAAGAACACCAGUGGCGAAGGCGACUCGCUGGACAAGUAUUGACGCUGAGGUGCGAAAGCGUGGGAGCAACAGG